AAAGCGUGCGUAGGUGGUCUUUUAAGUCGGAUGUGAAAUCCCUGAGCUUAACUUAGGAAUUGCAUUCGAUACUGGGAGACUAGAGUAUGGGAGAGGAUGGUAGAAUUCCAGGUGUAGCGGUGAAAUGCGUAGAGAUCUGGAGGAAUACCGAUGGCGAAGGCAGCCAUCUGGCCUAAUACUGACACUGAGGCACGAAAGCAUGGGGAGCAAACAGGAUUAGAUACCCUGGUAGUCCAUGCCGUAAACGAUGUCUACUAGCCGUUGGGGCCUUUGAGGCUUUAGUGGCGCAGCUAACGCGAUAAGUAGACCGCCUGGGGAGUACGGUCGCAAGACUAAAACUCAAAUGAAUUGACGGGGGCCCGCACAAGCGGUGGAGCAUGUGGUUUAAUUCGAUGCAACGCGAAGAACCUUACCUGGUCUUGACAUAGUAAGAACUUUCCAGAGAUGGAUUGGUGCCUUCGGGAGCUUGCAUACAGGUGCUGCAUGGCUGUCGUCAGCUCGUGUCGUGAGAUGUUGGGUUAAGUCCCGCAACGAGCGCAACCCUUUUCCUUAUUUGCCAGCACUUCGGGUGGGAACUUUAAGGAUACUGCCAGUGACAAACUGGAGGAAGGCGGGGACGACGUCAAGUCAUCAUGGCCCUUACGACCAGGGCUACACACGUGCUACAAUGGUCAGUACAAAGGGUUGCUACCUCGCGAGAGGAUGCUAAUCUCAAAAAGCCGAUCGUAGUCCGGAUCGCAGUCUGCAACUCGACUGCGUGAAGUCGGAAUCGCUAGUAA
RNAcentral lists this ribosomal RNA (779 nucleotides) under uncultured Pseudomonadota bacterium. RNAcentral's name for it is "bacterial SSU rRNA". It matches the Rfam family "Bacterial small subunit ribosomal RNA", at positions 562 to 1341 of the family's 1533-position model. The record is from RNAcentral. Lineage: Bacteria; Pseudomonadati; Pseudomonadota.